This 911-nucleotide long non-coding RNA is filed under the name Rattus norvegicus (Norway rat). RNAcentral's name for it is "long non-coding RNA NONRATT013201". Lineage: Eukaryota; Metazoa; Chordata; Mammalia; Rodentia; Muridae. The record is from RNAcentral.
GAGGAGGUGCAGUCCUUCGGUUACAAGAGGUUUGGUAUUCAGGAGGGGACACAAUGUACCAAAUGUAAAAAUAACUGGGCACUGAAGUUUUCGAUUAUAUUAUUAUAUGUUUUGUGUGCCUUACUGACCAUCACAGUAGCCAUUUUGGGAUAUAAAGUUGUAGAGAAAAUGGACACUGUCACAGAUGGCAUGGAGACAUCUCGCCAGACUUACGACAACAAGCUCAUUGCUGUGGAAAGUGAUCUGAAGAAAUUAGGUAAACUAAAGCAAGAGUGAACCAUUGAGUGGAGGGAGUCCCCUGUAUGAGUGCUGACACCUUUUCAGAAUGGUGAUGCACUCAGGGCUUCUGUUGUGUUUUUCAACUUUCCUUGCCUUUUCAUUGAAAUACUUCCAUUUUAAAGAAUAAGAAUUUCCACCUUAAAAUUUUACGAACCAUAUAAGAUCUGCUCCCUACUCUUGACUGAACAGGACCAUUAAGUCUUGCCUCUAGAAAGCUGGGAUUAACCUAUACCCAGCAGAGUUGACUUUUAAUAUAAAAGAUUGUGGCCUGUGUGGUUUCUUUCUUUUCUUUUUAAUGAUUCGUUUAUCUUAUUAUAUGUGCAUUGGUGUUUUUGCAUGUAUGUCUGUGAAAGUGUUUGGAUCCUCUGGAAUUGGAGUUACAGAUAGUUGUGAGCUGCCAUGUGGGUGCUGGGAAUUGAACCCGAAUCUUCUGGAAGAGCAGCUAGUGCUCUUAUCUACUGAGCUAUGUCUUCAGCCCCUGCCUGUUUGGUUUCUUGAUGUUUGUUUUCAAUUAUUAAAAGAAUAAACUUUGGUUCAAAUGAUGUAUAAAGCUUUAUGAGUAUGAUUCUCCUCUUGAAAAUUGCUAGAAAUUUCUAGCAUUCAAAUUAUUUUUUCUUUUCUCAAUCUUUAGU